RNAcentral lists this ribosomal RNA (468 nucleotides) under uncultured bacterium. RNAcentral's name for it is "partial 16S ribosomal RNA". It matches the Rfam family "Bacterial small subunit ribosomal RNA", at positions 28 to 507 of the family's 1533-position model. The record is from RNAcentral.
GACGAACGCUGGCGGCGUGCUUAACACAUGCAAGUCGAACGGAAAGGCCCUGCUCUUGUUGGGUGCUCGAGUGGCGAACGGGUGAGUAACACGUGAGUAACAUGCCCUUGACUUUGGGAUAACUUCAGGAAACUGGGGCUAAUACCGGAUAGGAGCUCCUGCUGCAUGGUGGGGGUUGGUAAGUUUCGGCGGUUGGGGAUGGACUCGCGGCUUAUCAGCUUGUUGGUGGGGUAGUGGCUUACCAAGGCUUUGACGGGUAGCCGGCCUGAGAGGGGGACCGGCCACAAUGGGACUGAGAUACGGCCCAGACGCCUACGGGAGGCAGCAGGGGGGAGUAUUGCACAAUGGGCGGAAGCCAGAUGCAGCAACGCCGCGUGCGGGAUGACGGCCUUCGGGUUGUAAACCGCUUUCGCCUGUGACGAAGCGUGAGUGACGGUAAUGGGUAAAGAAGCACCGGCUAACUACGUG